Molecule: ribosomal RNA, 426 nt
Filed under: Triticum aestivum (bread wheat)
Lineage: Eukaryota; Viridiplantae; Streptophyta; Magnoliopsida; Poales; Poaceae
Description: partial small subunit ribosomal RNA
Source: RNAcentral
AUGUCAUCACCGAUCGAUUACAUCUUCAUGAACUCUCGCGACAAAUGUGUCGUGGAUAUCAUCAACAUUCUGAGCUCUUCCAAGAGAUCUAUUGAAAUCAUGAUGAGAAAUACCAUCCUUGCCCUCGAUGAUUGGUGUUAUCAGCGACAACAUUAUUGCUUUCCCUCCAACACAAAACUUGUUCCUGUAUUGUGUUGUACCUUGAGUUCCUUGCUAUCCAACUUAUGUUAUAUUCUACCGCGGAGUAUUACCAUCUUUGAUGUUAAGAAUGUUGUGAGGAUUGCUCCACCUCUUAAGAAUUCUUGCUAUAAUGAUACUUCUCACCAUCACCAUUCUUUCUUGGUCCUCGUGUUGAUUCCAACCGGGGUACCCACAAGUGAACGGUGUUGUUUGGAUUAUGCACUUCUAGCAACCCUAUUGCUUUGA